AAUGGCAAAUUUCAGGUUAUUCGUCAAAUAACCAAGGUUUCUAUUUCUCUGAUUAAUGCAGUUUAUUUGACAGAUGUGUAAUGCUGUUUGUUGAAAAAUGCAUUAGAACCAAUGAUGGUAAGAUCUUGGCCUAGCAAAUUGGUAAAAUAUUACCUGCUCUUAAUUACUGAAUCAUAUUGUAGGAUAAAAUCUGCUGUUUAUGUAUGAAAAUUUGUACUUUUAUCUCUGAUUAUGUGGUAUAUGCCCAGAAUUUCAUUAUUAAUGAUCGAUUCAUUAAAAUUACUAUUUUUAAUUGUCUA
Long non-coding RNA from Stegodyphus dumicola, 299 nucleotides. Lineage: Eukaryota; Metazoa; Arthropoda; Arachnida; Araneae; Eresidae. The record is from RefSeq and is a predicted model, not a curated record.